CCCUUAGAUGUUCUGGGCUGCACGCGCGCUACACUGAAGCUAUCAACACGUUUUCCCUCCCUGAGAAGGGCGGGUAACCUUUUGAAUCAGCUUCGUGGUAGGGAUCGGGGCUUGCAAUUGUUCCCCGUGAACCAGGAAUUCCUAGUAGACGCGAGUCAUAAGCUCGCAUCGAUUAAGUCCCUGCCCUUUGUACACACCGCCCGUCGCUACUACCGAUUGAACGUUUUAGUGAGGCAUUUGGACCGACGCAUCUCAGUUUAACCGCUGGUUUGUGUUGGAAAGACUUCCUAACUUGAGCGUUUAGAGGAAGUAAAAGUCGUAACA
RNAcentral lists this ribosomal RNA (324 nucleotides) under uncultured eukaryote. Its description in RNAcentral is "partial 18S ribosomal RNA". It matches the Rfam family "Eukaryotic small subunit ribosomal RNA", at positions 1470 to 1796 of the family's 1831-position model. The record is from RNAcentral.